GGCCUGGUUGGGUGGUCUUGCCGCAAGGUAAGCACUGCUCCGAUCGGGUCUUUCCUUCUGGGGAACCAGCGUGCUCUUAAUUGGGUGCGCUGGGGAUCCAGGACUUUUACCUUGAGAAAAUUAGAGUGUUCAAAGCAGGCCUGCGCCUGAAUACGUUAGCAUGGAAUAAUAGAAUAGGAC
Molecule: ribosomal RNA, 180 nt
Filed under: uncultured Glomeromycotina
Lineage: Eukaryota; Fungi; Glomeromycota
Description: partial small subunit ribosomal RNA
Source: RNAcentral